CCUACGGGGGGCAGCAGUAGGGAAUCUUGCCCAAUGGACGAAAGUCUGAGGCAGCAACGCCGCGUGCGCGAUGAAGGCCUUCGGGUUGUAAAGCGCUUUUCUGGGGGACGAGAAAGGACGGUACCCCAGGAAUAAGUCUCGGCUAACUACGUGCCAGCAGCCGCGGU
This 167-nucleotide ribosomal RNA is filed under the name uncultured bacterium. RNAcentral describes it as "partial 16S ribosomal RNA". It matches the Rfam family "Bacterial small subunit ribosomal RNA", at positions 338 to 521 of the family's 1533-position model. The record is from RNAcentral.